AACGAACGCUGGCGGCAUGCCUAACACAUGCAAGUCGAACGAGACCUUCGGGUCUAGUGGCGCACGGGUGCGUAACGCGUGGGAACCUGCCCUUAGGUUCGGCCUACCUCCCCGAAAGGGGUGCUAAUACCGGAUAAUGUCUUCGGACCAAAGAUUUAUCGCCUUUGGAUGGGCCCGCGUUGGAUUAGCUAGUUGGUAGGGUAAAAGCCUACCAAGGCGACGAUCCAUAGCUGGUCUGAGAGGAUGAUCAGCCACACUGGGACUGAGACACGGCCCAGACUCCUACGGGAGGCAGCAGUGGGGAAUAUUGGACAAUGGGCGAAAGCCUGAUCCAGCAAUGCCGCGUGAGUGAUGAAGGCCUUAGGGUUGUAAAGCUCUUUUACCCGGGAUGAUAAUGACAGUACCGGGAGAAUAAGCUCCGGCUAACUCCGU
RNAcentral lists this ribosomal RNA (432 nucleotides) under uncultured bacterium. Its description in RNAcentral is "partial 16S ribosomal RNA". It matches the Rfam family "Bacterial small subunit ribosomal RNA", at positions 29 to 506 of the family's 1533-position model. The record is from RNAcentral.